Octodon degus (degu) is the source of this 272-nucleotide long non-coding RNA. RefSeq lists it as uncharacterized. The transcript is spliced from 3 exons. NCBI's taxonomy places the organism in Eukaryota, Metazoa, Chordata, Mammalia, Rodentia, Octodontidae. The record is from RefSeq and is a predicted model, not a curated record.
ACAUUGAAAUUGCCAUGAAGCUGGUGAAGACAGAACUCCAAAGCUCAGAACACCCAUUGGAUCAACACUAUAGAAACCUGCAUUGUCAUCUGCACCCACUAGAAAAUGAAAGUUAUGAGUUCAAAGUGAUCUCCCAGUACCUGCAGUCUACCCAUGCUCCUACACACAGUGACUACACCAUGACCUUGCUGGAGGUUUUUGAAGUGGAAAAGGAGGGGGAGAAAGAAGCCUUCAGGGAGGAUCUGCAUAACAGGACGCUGCUGUGGCAUGAC